Molecule: ribosomal RNA, 618 nt
Filed under: Cortinarius casimirii
Lineage: Eukaryota; Fungi; Basidiomycota; Agaricomycetes; Agaricales; Cortinariaceae
Also listed under: 1 other name
Description: eukaryotic LSU rRNA
Rfam family: Eukaryotic large subunit ribosomal RNA
Source: RNAcentral
UGUGACCUCAAAUCAGGUAGGACUACCCGCUGAACUUAAGCAUAUCAAUAAGCGGAGGAAAAGAAACUAACAAGGAUUCCCCUAGUAACUGCGAGUGAAGCGGGAAAAGCUCAAAUUUAAAAUCUGGCGGUCUUUUGGCUGUCCGAGUUGUAAUCUAGAGAAGUGUUAUCCGCGCUGGACCGUGUACAAGUCUCCUGGAAUGGAGCAUCAUAGAGGGUGAGAAUCCCGUCUUUGACAUGGACUGCCAGGGCUUUGUGAUGCGCUCUCAAAGAGUCGAGUUGUUUGGGAAUGCAGCUCAAAAUGGGUGGUAAAUUCCAUCUAAAGCUAAAUAUUGGCGAGAGACCGAUAGCGAACAAGUACCGUGAGGGAAAGAUGAAAAGAACUUUGGAAAGAGAGUUAAACAGUACGUGAAAUUGCUGAAAGGGAAACGCUUGAAGUCAGUCGCGUCAUCCAGGGAUCAACCUUGCUUUUGCUUGGUGCACUUCCUGGUUUGAUGGGUCAGCAUCAAUUUUGACCGUUGGAAAAAGGCUGAGGGAAUGUGGCAUCUUCGGAUGUGUUAUAGCCCUCUGUCACAUACAAUGGUUGGGAUUGAGGAACUCAGCACGCCGCAAGGCCGGG